GGAGAGAUGGCUCAGUGGUUAAGAGCCAGAUGUCCUGAGUUCAAUUCCCAGCCACUCCA
RNAcentral lists this transfer RNA (59 nucleotides) under Rattus norvegicus (Norway rat). It matches the Rfam family "tRNA". From Rfam's summary of the family: Transfer RNA (tRNA) molecules are approximately 80 nucleotides in length. Their secondary structure includes four short double-helical elements and three loops (D, anti-codon, and T loops). The record is from Rfam by way of RNAcentral. Lineage: Eukaryota; Metazoa; Chordata; Mammalia; Rodentia; Muridae.